AUCGGAACCAUUUAUAUUUGAAUCUUUAUUUGAUGCUAGUAUAGCUUUAUUAUCGGUAUAUACUACUAAAGUUGUACGGCAAAUUUUAGGGAAUGUAUAUAAAUAUUAUAAAUGAUAGGUGAAAAGCCGCUUCCUUGGUGUAUUACAGCAUUGAUUUUUAGUGUGAAGGGAGUUAUAAUUAAUAUGAUGACUGUUAAAAAUUUGUCUUGAAGAAAUAAUUUUAGAAUGAGAAAAUAUUGAAUAGUUAGGAACGAUUUAAGGAUUUUAAGAACGAAGUUUGUGUGAUAUUGAGAAAAAAACCUUGAAAAUGUUUUUAUUUUCGAAUGAUAAUUAUAUUCUGUCAAUAACUCUAUAAAUUUGGUGAAUUCGAACGGAAAUCUAAUUGGUUAUUAGGUAAGAUUUUAUUUUCGUUUACGAUUGGCGUAAUUCUUUUAAGUAGUCAUUUUUGAAAAGAGUUUUCUUAAUAACGUUAUUAGGCUAACUGGACAACAUGAAGACACUAGGUAUUUUGGUUUUGCUGGUUUGAAGAUUAAAAUAAUAGUUGAGAAUUUCUAUAUUGGAGGUUUGUAAGAUAGAUUAAGCGUUGAAUUGUAAAUGUGAGUUAGAAAAAGGUUGUGUAAUAAUUGUUGAAGAAUUUUGUUGUCUAUUAUGUUGUGUUCUGUGGCUUUUUAACAUGUAGCUUUAUUUCAUAACGUGUGAUUGAAUUAGUCGAUAGUGACACAGGUAGUGGAUUGCUAAAGAAGGUUUGUACGUUUUGGGUAUAGGUAUGAUAUAUUUGGGUUAACGUCUGAUUAUGGUUGGAAAAAAGUUGGUUUCCAAAUAGAUUGGU
Non-coding RNA from Cinara cedri, 829 nucleotides. The record is from the annotation of a GenBank genome assembly. NCBI's taxonomy places the organism in Eukaryota, Metazoa, Arthropoda, Insecta, Hemiptera, Aphididae.